GCGUCGAGCGGCGGACGGGUGAGUAAUGCCUAGGAAAUUGCCCUGAUGUGGGGGAUAACCAUUGGAAACGAUGGCUAAUACCGCAUAAUGCCUACGGGCCAAAGAGGGGGACCUUCGGGCCUCUCGCGUCAGGAUAUGCCUAGGUGGGAUUAGCUAGUUGGUGAGGUAAGGGCUCACCAAGGCGACGAUCCCUAGCUGGUCUGAGAGGAUGAUCAGCCACACUGGAACUGAGACACGGUCCAGACUCCUACGGGAGGCAGCAGUGGGGAAUAUUGCACAAUGGGCGCAAGCCUGAUGCAGCCAUGCCGCGUGUGUG
RNAcentral lists this ribosomal RNA (316 nucleotides) under Vibrio alginolyticus. RNAcentral's name for it is "bacterial SSU rRNA". It matches the Rfam family "Bacterial small subunit ribosomal RNA", at positions 88 to 407 of the family's 1533-position model. Lineage: Bacteria; Pseudomonadati; Pseudomonadota; Gammaproteobacteria; Vibrionales; Vibrionaceae. The record is from RNAcentral.